Molecule: ribosomal RNA, 207 nt
Filed under: uncultured bacterium
Lineage: Bacteria
Description: partial 16S ribosomal RNA
Rfam family: Bacterial small subunit ribosomal RNA
Source: RNAcentral
CACGCAGGCGGUUUGCUAAGCUAGAUGUGAAAGCCCCGGGCUCAACCUGGGAACUGCAUUUAGAACUGGCGAACUAGAGUCUUGUAGAGGGGGGUAGAAUUCCAGGUGUAGCGGUGAAAUGCGUAGAGAUCUGGAGGAAUACCGGUGGCGAAGGCGGCCCCCUGGACAGAGACUGACGCUCAGGUGCGAAAGCGUGGGGAGCAAACA